GUUUGAGGUCAUCUCGUUGCCUAGAAUGGAAGUUGGAACACAUUAUGCCAAAUAACUCUAUAGUGACGGACGGAAUGUACGAAUGAAGAGGGCAGAGUACCACAGAAAGCUACAUAAUGAUGCAGUGCAGAAUGGGAAAUGCCAGAUGACAAUAGUAAAGAAGGAAUCCUUCUCCUGUACUGAAUCCUGUCUGCAGUCUCAUGACUUGACCCCUGGAAUGGAGACAUAUCUCUCGAUUGUGGUUUCCUGAGAAGGAAUGCCUUUGGCUGUCCUGGCUCCCUCAGCUCUGCCUACAUAUUAUCUUUAUCAGAGGAGUAAAAUCCAGGUAGCCAUGAUGUAUUUCUUGAAGACCAGAAGAGAAAUAAGACUGAAAAUAUGAAGGUGUUUUCCUAACUUAAUUAGAUUUAUAGAUUAUUCCUCUAGCAUCUGAGCUGCUUCUUAUAAUCAUUAAAAGACACGGAA
RNAcentral lists this long non-coding RNA (462 nucleotides) under Fukomys damarensis (Damara mole-rat). RNAcentral's name for it is "lncRNA (ENSFDAG00000021970.1)". Lineage: Eukaryota; Metazoa; Chordata; Mammalia; Rodentia; Bathyergidae. The record is from RNAcentral.